GACUAUGGAGGAUGGCGAGCGGCUCUCUGGUCUGUCACUGACGCUGAGGCUCGAAAGCGUGGGUAGCAAACAGGAUUAGAUACCCUGGUAGUCCACGCCGUAAACGAUGACUGCUAACUGUUGGAGGGUUUCCGCCCUUCAUGGCUGCAUUUAACGCAUUAAGCACUCCGCCUGGGGAGUACGACCGCAGGUUGAAACUCAAAGGAAUUGACGGGGGCCCGCACAAGCGGUGGAGCAUGUGGUUUAAUUCGAACCAACGCGAAGAACCUUACCAGGUCUUGACAUCCUUUGACCACUCUAGAGAUCCAGGGUCCCCUUCGGGGGCAAAGUGACAGGUGGUGCAUGGUUGUCGUCAGCUCGUGUCGUGAGAUGUUGGGUUAAGUCCCGCAACGAGCGCACCCCUUAUUGUUAUUUGCCAUCAUUCAGUUGGGCACUCUAGGGGACUGCCGGUGACAAACCGGAGGAAGGGGGGGGAUGACGUCAAUCAUCCUGCCCCUUAUGACCUGGGCUACACACGUGCUACAAUGGGAAGUACAAAGGGUUGCGAAAUCGCGAGGCUGAGCUAAUCUCUUAAAAGCUCUCGUCUCAGUUCGGGAUUCGCGAGUCUGCAACUCGCACUGCAGUCGAAGCUCGGAAUCGCUAGUAAUCGCUGCAUCAGCACUGGCGCGGGUGAAUACGUUCCCGGGGCCUUGUACACACCGCCCGUCACACCACGAGAAGUGUGUAUAGCACCCGAAGUGGUGAGCGUAACCUUUCUGGAGAGCGCUCCCCUACAGUGGUGAUAUCAUGAUCUGGGGUGAAAUUCGUAACAAGGUAACCGCGUAAG
This 826-nucleotide ribosomal RNA is filed under the name Enterococcus faecium. RNAcentral describes it as "bacterial SSU rRNA". It matches the Rfam family "Bacterial small subunit ribosomal RNA", at positions 701 to 1508 of the family's 1533-position model. The record is from RNAcentral. Lineage: Bacteria; Bacillati; Bacillota; Bacilli; Lactobacillales; Enterococcaceae.